CCACCAAGCACCUGCCCAUCCCACUCCAUAGCCCAGCCACCCACUCUCAUGUACCAUAUGACCAUCCCAGUAAGCAAGCCAACCACUAGAAUUUGACUGGCAUGCACCUGUGACUUACAUAAACCAGACCUCUACAUAGCCUACAUGUCUUCAUUUUGCUGGAGACUGCCCAUCAUCCUAGCCUGUUA
Molecule: long non-coding RNA, 188 nt
Organism: Macrobrachium nipponense
Lineage: Eukaryota; Metazoa; Arthropoda; Malacostraca; Decapoda; Palaemonidae
Exons: 3
Source: RefSeq, a predicted model, not a curated record